Oncorhynchus mykiss (rainbow trout) is the source of this 2395-nucleotide long non-coding RNA. RefSeq lists it as uncharacterized. The record is from RefSeq and is a predicted model, not a curated record. NCBI's taxonomy places the organism in Eukaryota, Metazoa, Chordata, Actinopteri, Salmoniformes, Salmonidae.
AAAUGUUUAUUGUUUGACAACAUUUUACUCCCUCUAUGUUUAAUAUAACAUACAUUUAUUAUUAAUUUUGUUUUCCUUUCCUGACUCUGAUGUCUGCCACAUAAAGCAUUUGACUCUAGCCACAAAUUAUGGAAAUUAGAAGGGGGGAGAAUUCUGUCAAGGGGGAGAUUUUUGGCACAACACCGGCAGUGGGAGAAGAUGGAAGAGAUGGAUUUUGGCCGACAUUCUGCUAAUUUACUCAUCGAUGAAACAUUUGAUUUCAAAAUAGUUGUCUGUUCCCAAAACUACAAUCUGUUAGGGACAGAGUGGACAAAGUUUUGUAAACUUUACCCUUUGCCAAAGAAAAAAAAAAAGGAGUGCGAAGGCGAAUUGAGUUAUUGCACACGCGGACUUUACAGAGUAGGCAUUCUACAACGGAACCAUGCAAAUGCAUGCUAGAAUCUUGUUAGCUCGUGCUUGGCUCUGCCCACCUCCUUGCUUGUUCUGCCCACUAUGGCUCAUUUGUUUCCCUUUGAAACGACAGGCUGUGGUCUAUGUAUGUGUAGUUCUAAAAAUCUUUGUCUGCUUCUUCUUCUUUAAAUUAAAAGGUGCAUACACCACCACCUACGGUACUGGAGUGCGAGUCCGGUGUAGAGUUAGUUGCCCUACCAACUAACUCGACACUCAGUAAAACAUCACCACUAUUCCACUAAUGGCCCCAUCUGAUCCUAGACUAGGCCAGCAGGGUCCGUGUACCUUCUAGACAAUGGCUAUCCUACAUUAACCAGGAUGACGGAUAGUGAGUGAUUCACCACUCGUUAUCCAUUUUAUUUCAAGUUGAUCGAAAUUGACAGAAAGCUACCUUUUUUAGUUUUUCGCUUCAAAUAUCGGAAAACAAGCACUGUCAAGGUAGGCGGGAAAGGGUAGGGUGCGUUUUGAUUUUGUUCCUAGUGUAACGUUAGUUAACAUAAGCUAGCGUUACCGCAACUAGCUAACCACACAGUCUCAAGUGAGUGUAAUUUGUGUUUUGUAGCCAAAUCACCACAACUGUUGUGGCUAGAGAAGCGAGCUAACGUUAUUGCCUAGCUACAAAUUCACUGUUCUAUGAAGUUUGUGCUCUCAGUUGUGUUUGAUUUGACCGUCUAUUAUUGGCCAUGUUGUGUGGUCUAUAUAUGGUCAGAGGGAUCUGGGGUGCAGAUGGUGGUGGAGGUGUUUGGCGUGGAGAGGACAGUGAAUUCAGUGGAGGACAUCCCAAACCACUUGACAGUGUUGGCACUGUUACUUCCUACCUGACGGGUGAGGGAUGAUAAGCCCGUGUUUGAGAAGAGGUGUCUGGUGUGGGAGGACAUGCGGAUUCCCUCAAAGUUCCUGAAGGAGGAGUUGGCAACACCCAGGUCUAUCUGUCUUCAGAGGGAUCUAGGGUGCAGACAGCAGAUGUUUGGGGUGGAGAGGACAGUGGAUUCAUUUGGAGGACAUCCCAGCCACUUGGCAGUGUUGGUGUAACAGUAUAAGUUUAGACCGUCCCCUCGCCCAUACCCGGGCGCGAACCAGGGACCCUCUGCACACAUCAACAACAGUCACCCACGAAGCAUCGUUACCCAUCGCUCCACAAAAGCCGCGGCCCUUGCAGAGCAAGGGGAACCACUACUUCAAGGUCUCAGAGCAAGUGACGUCACCGAUUGAAGCGCUAUUUAGCGCGCACCGCUAACUAAGCUAGCCGUUUCACAUCCGUUACAUUGGGACUGCUACUUCCUACCUGACGGGCACCUGGCCACCCGAGUGCAGGUGGGCUCUGUCAACAUGAGGCUCUUACUGGUCCUACCACAAGUACACACAGGAGUUGAAGAUGCCUUGUACCAGCGGCAGCACCCAGAGCUCCAAGCCAUGAUGGGUCGACUUCCUGCAGUUCCUGCUACUACGAAAACUGAGCGAGGUCAUCAUGUUCGCCCGCAAGGACUUCUUUGCCUCCUGCCAACUCCCGGGUGGCACCUUGAACACCUCCUCACCUUGAGGACACACAUUGUGGCUGCGUCUGUGUCUCAAUAGUCUAGUAGCUUUCUUUGACUGGCACUUUAGUGAGGACAAUACUAUUCUGGUUGGCACUUGUCACCAGUAUGUACAGAGGCCCUCGAGAUCUAGAGUAUUGAUAAAAUACGAAUGCUUUUAUGGAUGUUUUUUAUUUUGUGAUGUUUUUACUGUCUGUUUGUAUGAGGUGCACUGAAACAAAUUCCUAAUCAACUCUGUUAUGGAAAUCGAAAGAGGUCCAGUUAUGUCAGUUAUUGUGAAUGAAAAUAAAAUGUAUCAUUUCAUGUCUUGUAUGUUUCCCAUGCUUAAUUUCUGUGGAGUAAUUCCAGUAACUGCUUUAACUGCUUUUUUUGCUUUGGCUCUAAGUUAUAAAUAAAAUUAUUCUCAUGCU